RNAcentral lists this ribosomal RNA (835 nucleotides) under uncultured Streptococcus sp. Its description in RNAcentral is "bacterial SSU rRNA". It matches the Rfam family "Bacterial small subunit ribosomal RNA", at positions 52 to 869 of the family's 1533-position model. The record is from RNAcentral. Lineage: Bacteria; Bacillati; Bacillota; Bacilli; Lactobacillales; Streptococcaceae.
UACAUGCAAGUAGAACGCUGAAGAGAGGUGCUUGCUCUUCUUGGAUGAGUUGCGAACGGGUGAGUAACGCGUAGGUAACCUGCCUUGUAGCGGGGGAUAACUAUUGGAAACGAUAGCUAAUACCGCAUAACAAUGGAUGACACAUGUCAUUUAUUUGAAAGGGGCAAUUGCUCCACUACAAGAUGGACCUGCGUUGUAUUAGCUAGUAGGUGAGGUAACGGCUCACCUAGGCGACGAUACAUAGCCGACCUGAGAGGGUGAUCGGCCACACUGGGACUGAGACACGGCCCAGACUCCUACGGGAGGCAGCAGUAGGGAAUCUUCGGCAAUGGGGGCAACCCUGACCGAGCAACGCCGCGUGAGUGAAGAAGGUUUUCGGAUCGUAAAGCUCUGUUGUAAGUCAAGAACGAGUGUGAGAGUGGAAAGUUCACACUGUGACGGUAGCUUACCAGAAAGGGACGGCUAACUACGUGCCAGCAGCCGCGGUAAUACGUAGGUCCCGAGCGUUGUCCGGAUUUAUUGGGCGUAAAGCGAGCGCAGGCGGUUUGAUAAGUCUGAAGUUAAAGGCUGUGGCUUAACCAUAGUACGCUUUGGAAACUGUUUAACUUGAGUGCAGAAGGGGAGAGUGGAAUUCCAUGUGUAGCGGUGAAAUGCGUAGAUAUAUGGAGGAACACCGGUGGCGAAAGCGGCUCUCUGGUCUGUAACUGACGCUGAGGCUCGAAAGCGUGGGGAGCAAACAGGGUUAGAUACCCUGGUAGUCCACGCCGUAAACGAUGAGUGCUAGGUGUUGGGUCCUUUCCGGGACUCAGUGCCGCAGCUAACGCAUUAAGCACUC